GCCGUAAGGUUUGCAGGCCUCCCCCGCCCUCCGCCCUUCCUUGUUUUGGUUCACUCUCUUGGCUUCCUCCUCCGCUGUCGCAGUUCCAGAAGAUGCGUCCAGCCACAACAAAGCUCUGAGGACCCGGGGAGCAUUUCUUCCCAGGGCUAUCACAAGUGAGAGAACGCUUUCCAGAAACCUCCCAGGAAGACUUCCCUUCACAUCUUGUUGGACAGAAGUGAGUCACAGUCUCAAACUAAUUACUGUGAGAUGCCUCAUAAGGAAGAAGGGGCCACACUCCCGCCCAGGAUGCCUGUCCCUAACCCAGUGCUUCCACAGACCCAGCCCAUCAGAUUCAGGGCUAUCCCAGGCACAGGGAGGCAAUACCACUCGUCUGAAACAGUAACUUCCACUGUGGGCAAAUGAGAAAGUCAAACCUCAUGCCUUUUGAUCAGACAGGACGGAGUAUUUUUAUGGUCAAGCGGCCAUGUAGCAGUAGGAAGAAGACUGAGAAACUGGGACGCAAAACACAAACUCAGCCACAGUGUUGCGAGCGUUCUAGGAAGGGCCCCACCCCUGGGAGGCAGCGCGCUGAGCAGGUCCCGCAGGCUGCAGUGGAGUCACAGUGCGCAACGCCAUUGUAGAGCAGGUGCCUUGGUGUUGCCCACGCCACAAACAUGUUAUGGGACCCUGACAGUCUCUCUCUCUCCACAUCUGUUGCUUUACCUGAAAUAGGGUUCCUUUCCAUUUUCUUGCUCCACUUUUUUUUCCGAGACAAACCAGAAAGCAUCAGUAAAGAAAUCUAAGUUUCUACAAGUUACUGCCAACUUUCAUGAAAUCUGUGUAAUUUUAAAUGUCUUUUAACCAUUGCCAAGAUAAGAAGCAAAGGAGUCAGGUUUCUCUUCCGCAGGUCAAAUGCAGCCGCCCAUCUGUUCAAGCCUGCGUAUCAGGACCUGGAAGCCCCAUGCAGACCCAUCUACUCUGUCAUUCUUUUCAUCUGUUGCUUUUCAAUCGGUAUGGUUUUUCCCUACCAUUCUGAAUUCAGGUUUCACUACAUUAUACUUUUUUGGCCUCAUAAAAAUGAGGCACAAGGUAUAAUAUAUAUGGCUAAUUUUAAAUUUAAGCAAUGCAAGUAGAUAUUGAAUGAUAAAAACAUUUAAAAUCCUCAUUCUAUUACUCAUGUAAGAGGAUCAGCGGAGUCUUUCAGAGGAAGAGCAAGGUUUUAAAGCCAAAACCACAAAGGGAAGGGUGUACCUGAGUGUUAGUAUAUAAACCUUUCACUCUGAUGGCUUGAGGUCAAGACUUGGUUAGUUCAAAAGUGAAUGAAUGUUUGGAUUCUUCACCUCCUACCUAGUAAAUAUUUAUUCCGAUUAUAAAAUGGCAAGAAACACUGGCACAACCAACAUUCUCUGCUUGAGAGAAGCUAC
Molecule: long non-coding RNA, 1406 nt
Filed under: Homo sapiens (human)
Lineage: Eukaryota; Metazoa; Chordata; Mammalia; Primates; Hominidae
Description: HSALNT0132413
Source: RNAcentral